CUCCUAUUAAUGUUUUAUUUUACUCUUAAUUUGAACUCUGCCUUACUCAAGUGACUGAUGCCUUAUGGUAUUUAAGCUUGUGUGUCAUUUAUUCACCUACUAUGUUUUCCAGGUGGGAAGGGGUCCAGGAGAUGCACAGCAAGAGGAGUUGGAGAGCAGAAGGAAAAAUGAAGAGAUUGAAGAUGUGUCAUAUACCUAUACCAAAUACCCACAAUGAAUCUUACAAUUUUGAAGGAAAAGAGAGAAUCACAUCACUUAAAACACUGGACGUGAGAGGAGUAUCACUUCCCUGUGCAAACCACUUAAAAAGAAUACAUGUGCAGGGAGAAGCCUGCAGCAGCCUCCAUUACGGAAGGCGUGAUUUGUAAUGGAGUCAUUAUCCUGCCGGGACUGAGGAAGAGAAAGUGAUCCUUCUUUCCUGUACUAAAGUGCCUGCUCCUCGGCUCAGUAUUAAAAUGAGAGCUCAAAUAGCUCCUUGUUCUAAUUUCCCUUAUCAGCCUCCACAGGGCCCAUUUCAGGCUGUCUGUGAAGUGUUCGGAUGCAAUUGUGUUCCUGAAUAAAAAGGAGAAACUAAAUUAGAGCCUCUUAAAACCAUUAUAUUGUCUUAUUUAGUGACACUGUUUGCCUCACCAUUACUAAGCAAUGAGCUAAGUGUUCUUCCUAAGUAAUAAUAAUAAUAUCCACAUUUAACCAGCACUUUACACUUUGCAAAGCACUUUUGCAUAUGUUAUCUCUUUUGAGCCAUGGAGGAGCUGAAGCAGAUUCAAAGGGUUAGCAUCAUCAAUUGACACCAUUACAUUAUAAGCUUUCAGACUCCGAAGCCAGGCCAUGCAAUCCAAUGACCUGGGAAAGGAGAAGAGCUAUCUACCUUUGGGGCCCAAGCAUCUGCCACAGACCCUUCCAGACCAUCAGGGAUGACCACUGUCCUCCCUAUCCCUCUGUGUGGAGGGCUCCCGACCUCAGCUUACAUGAUUAACCUUCAAGAGAACAGAAACCAAUCAGAAGAACCAACUAGAACUUCAUAUUAGCGGCAUACACGUGAAUCCUUGUUACUAAUCCACAAGUUAUGGAGGGGAGGUCCUUUUUAAAGGAUUUGAGUUUUUGAACAGCUGCUUUAGCUACAUGGAUUCCUGUGAUUGUUUUGUAAGCUGUUGAGAUAUUGUGCCACAUGACAAGAAAAGUCCACAUUUUACAGAAUAUUUCAAUGUUGUCACAAAUGAUCUCUGUGGAUGAUUCUAGUACAUUUAUAUGCUGGCCUUUAAAAAAAAAAGUUAAUCUUGGAAAUAUUCCAAACAAUUUUC
Molecule: long non-coding RNA, 1301 nt
Filed under: Chinchilla lanigera (long-tailed chinchilla)
Lineage: Eukaryota; Metazoa; Chordata; Mammalia; Rodentia; Chinchillidae
Description: lncRNA (ENSCLAG00000025400.1)
Source: RNAcentral